ACGGCGACGACGCCCGGCUGGGCCGGCGCCUUAGAAGUUGGACCGGCCCCGGCCUGGGUCGGACGGUGGAGGUGAUAGACAUCUGCUCGCCCAGUAACGAUGGCGGUGUUUCACGACGAGGUGGAGAUCGAGGACUUCCAAUAUGACGAGGACUCGGAGACGUACUUCUACCCCUGCCCGUGUGGAGAUAACUUCUGCAUCACCAAGGAAGAUUUGGAGAAUGGGGAAGACGUGGCAACGUGCCCUAGCUGCUCUCUCAUUAUAAAAGUGAUUUAUGACAAAGAUCAGUUUAUGUGUGGAGAGACAGUCCCGGCCCCUUCCACCAACAAAGAGCUAGUUAAGUGCUGAAGCAGACUUUAGGAUUCCAAAGCCUGAAUUUUGGGGAAUGAGCCAAAUUGGAAAAAUCAAAUGCAAAGUCACUGGCUUCUUCAUGGGAACAGUCAUUUUGUAGUUUGGUGUUCCAUAGAGUGUGGAUUCUUUCCAUCGGCUGCCAAGUUCAUCUCCAGUUGAAGAAGCAAGUCCACCACAUGACAUACGCGGAUUUUGUGCCAAAACUUUGAAUUGGAUGGGCUCUUAAUUUUCCAUCCGAACUUAAAAGAAGAUAAUUUCAAAUCAGUGCUUUCUUUCACUCAAUUUUGUUAUUUUUAUAUCUUACACAUAAUUACUUCAUUAUCUGACAACAGCUUCAUCUACCUCAAAGUCAUUAGGAUUCUUUAAUUUUAAAAAAGAUUUUACUUUUAGUUGGUUAUUAAGAUUAUUAAAUCAGCCCUUUCUUUGUAGUUUGACAUCAGCUCUGCUGUUCUAAACUGAAGAAAUCAGUUGCCUUCAGUCAGUCGGGGACUGUACCUUCAGUUGGCCAGGCCAGUUUUCAAGAGCUGGCCAUGAGUCAGAUGUCUGUGUUCUGUUAAGCAUGUCAUUUCCAUUAUACUUCAUACACUGGGUUCUGGUCAUGGUGUUAAAGAGAAAAUAUACUGAGCUCACAAUUUGUCCAGAGUUAAAAGGUAGUGAGUAAGAAGAAAAGUCAAAAAGUGAAAUGAUCAAAGAAUAUGGAAUUUCCUUAUCAAUAUUCUGCAUGUUCCUUGAAAAUCAGGACAAGAUAAAAAGAAAAACAGCCAAAGAAAGUGAAAUUGGUAAACGGAGGAGAGGAGAAAAAUAUGCCUACUUUUAGUAAAUUAACUGCUUGAGUGGUUACAGAGCAAGUAACAUUUCUGAAUCUGGGUUCUUGUGUGUGUAUUUGUUUUUAGAUAAGGCUAAGGAAAUUUCACUCUAGGUAGGGGUUAAUGUCAAGUCUUCAUGGCUAGCGGCCCUGCUUUCAGCAUUACCACCAAAUCAAGUUACUAGUCCUAAAAGGUAAAGCUUCCACAGCAACUCUUGUAUUUGCUGAGGAGGAACUUAAGAAUGAGAUGCCUGUUCCAAUUAAAUAUGCCCCUGAGGGCCCAUCUAAUAAGCCUCUAUAAGCUGCAACCACAUCAGACAUUCACUCUUGCCCUGGAGAAAAAGAAACAUACAAAGAUAGGCUAUCGGUCUUCCUUUGCUACAGCCCUGAGAAUAGCAAGAAAUAGAACCACUUGCACAGAAAUGCCAAAAUUCCCUUUAUAUACACACCUCUGCUGUGUGUACAUAAAGCUAAACUCACCUAUGUCUGGUGGGUUGCUCUGUAAAUGGCUUCUGCAGUUAGAAAAAUAGCUUGCCAGCAUGUGAGCAUUUUAUUACUAACUGAUAAAUGUGCAGCAUACUCACUGGGGGUUUAAAUUAAAACAGGCCAGUGGCCUUUUUUCCCCUGCCAACAGCAUGGCUAUGUGAAGCCAUUAGGCUGAGACAUAAAUCACCAAAAACUGUAUGCCAGAACUGCUUGGUACAUUAUGUGAAGCAUAUGGCGUGUUGAUAUGUUGAGAAAUCUCAUCGCUGUUUGGGACACUGACACCCCAGAAGUAAUCCACAGUUGCUUUGGAACGAGUGACGGCUCAGGUGAACAGAGCAGGGUGUGUGCUGACUGGUGGGGAUGAGCUACAGAGAGAAACGAACUGUCCCAUACUCAGAUCUGAUGGUUUCGUAGAUACUGGUAACUGAUGAUGAAUUUCAAACAAGAACAGACAUCCCUGAUGUCACUUACACUGUGAGCGUAGAAGAGCAGGAAGAAAAGUUGCCCAAGUCCAAAUGUCCCAGGAGAAAAGCCAGCACCACUGGCGAUUGGUGAUAAUGUGAUAACGGGAAUGAUUUCAUUCCAAAGCAGCUGAGUUGCUAAAUCUGUUAACCACAAAAGAACACAUCAGGAUUUAAUCCUGUGUUAAGCAGAAAGUAAAACCAGGGUCUGACAGAUACGACUCGAGUUCAGUGUGGUGUAUAUGCCUUGUUUAGCUUCACAGACAUUUCAGAGACCCUCUGAGGACUGAGUUGUAAUCCAGGCUCUGUCUCUUGCUGCCUUGGUAAUCUUUGGCAAGACCAGUGGAUUCCUCAUCCGUACAAUUAGGAGACUGGAUCAGGGUAUUUCUAAACUCAGUACUAUAAUUUCAGGCUUCAUAGUUUGCAGGAGCUGGAAUGGUAAUUGAAACCUUUUUAAACUAAACACGGGCUGAAGAUGAAUUACAGAGAAAGACACUCCAUUCUUCAGUAACUCCAUGUCAAAGGAUUCUGCAUAUACUUUAGUGUACACAGUCAGAAACCUUUUUAUCGGAAAGCACCCAACAUUUUUGACAACUGUACAUAUUAAUUUAUUACCAGAAUAAAUUGUAUUGGCAUGCUAAAUAAAGCCAGAUUAUUUACAUCC
Molecule: long non-coding RNA, 2767 nt
Organism: Phocoena sinus (vaquita)
Lineage: Eukaryota; Metazoa; Chordata; Mammalia; Artiodactyla; Phocoenidae
Source: Ensembl